Molecule: ribosomal RNA, 340 nt
Filed under: uncultured eukaryote
Lineage: Eukaryota
Description: bacterial SSU rRNA
Rfam family: Bacterial small subunit ribosomal RNA
Source: RNAcentral
CGAAAGCCUGACGGAGCAAUACCGCGUGAAGGAUGAAGGCCUAUGGGUCGUAAACUUCUUUUCUCAGAGAAGAAUUUUGACGGUAUCUGAGGAAUAAGCAUCGGCUAACUCUGUGCCAGCAGCCGCGGUAAUACAGAGGAUGCAAGCGUUAUCCGGAAUGAUUGGGCGUAAAGCGUCUGUAGGUGGUUUGACAAGUCUUCUGUCAAAGAUCAGGGCUUAACCCUGGGCAGGCAGGAGAAACUAUCAGGCUUGAGUUCGGUAGGGGCAGAGGGAAUUCCCGGUGGAGCGGUGAAAUGCGUAGAUAUCGGGAGGAACACCAACGGCGAAAGCACUCUGCUGG